GACGAACGCUGGCGGCGUGCUUAACACAUGCAAGUCGAACGGAAAGGCCCUGCUUGCAGGGUACUCGAGUGGCGAACGGGUGAGUAACACGUGGGUGAUCUGCCCUGCACUUCGGGAUAAGCCUGGGAAACUGGGUCUAAUACCGGAUAGGAGCCAUUUUUAGUGUGAUGGUUGGAAAGUUUUUUCGGUGUGGGAUGAGCUCGCGGCCUAUCAGCUUGUUGGUGGGGUAAUGGCCUACCAAGGCGGCGACGGGUAGCCGGCCUGAGAGGGUGGACGGCCACAUUGGGGCUGAGAUACGGCCCAGACGCCUACGGGGGGCAGCAGUGGGGAAUAUUGCACAAUGGGCGCAAGCCUGAUGCAGCGACGCCGCGUGGGGGAAGACGGGCUUUGGGUUGUAAACUCCUUUCGCUAGGGACGAAGCUUUUUGUGACGGUACCUAGAUAAGAAGCACCGGCUAACUACGUG
Molecule: ribosomal RNA, 465 nt
Filed under: uncultured bacterium
Lineage: Bacteria
Description: partial 16S ribosomal RNA
Rfam family: Bacterial small subunit ribosomal RNA
Source: RNAcentral